RNAcentral lists this microRNA precursor (77 nucleotides) under Octodon degus (degu). Its description in RNAcentral is "miRNA (ENSODEG00000022246.1)". Lineage: Eukaryota; Metazoa; Chordata; Mammalia; Rodentia; Octodontidae. The record is from RNAcentral.
CUUGGACUCACUUUGUAGUCCAGGCAGGCCUUAAGCUCACAGUGAUCCUCCUGCCUCAGCCUCCUUAGUGCUGGAAU